Molecule: long non-coding RNA, 2954 nt
Filed under: Phoenix dactylifera (date palm)
Lineage: Eukaryota; Viridiplantae; Streptophyta; Magnoliopsida; Arecales; Arecaceae
Description: long non-coding RNA (PDAC_LNC003238)
Source: RNAcentral
CAGGCCGCCAGCAUAUGGUCGGAGGCGCCCGACCUAGAGGGUGCCCGAUCUGGAGGGCGCCCGACCUGGAGGACGCCCGACCUGGAGGACGCCCGAUCUGGAAAGCGCCCGAUCCCGAUCUCGGAAGGCAUCCGAUCCCGGAAGCUGGAUCUCGCCGACUGCCCGCUGCGGUCACAUCCUCCUACGGCCCGAUUUGGGAUCAUAAAUGACAAUGCAUUGCUACAUAAAGAAUGGCUCAGACACGGCCGCGUCUAGCAACUACUUGUGCUUCAAGCUUCCAAGUCUAGACUCCGCGUAUCAUAAUGGUCGACAUCGUUUGCAAUCAUAGAGAUGCGCCUUUUUUUCAGAAAGCCUUCUAUAAUUUCCUUUACGGAUAGCUAUGGUAGCUUGAAACUUCUCCCUGCUGGAUCCUGCAUUAAUCUCCGGCUUACUCAAAAAUUAAUGCGCAUGGCCUCUGCAGACCUCCGGCUUACUCAACGAUUAAUGCGCAUGGUCUCUGCAGACCUCCGGCUUACUCAACAAUUAAUAUGCAUGGUCUCUGUUAACUACGGAUCUCCAGUCCUCCAUAGCAAAUCAGCUUGGCUGCAUCCAGUCAGCCGUGACAACUCCCUGAUUCCGACCUCAUCCUCUACGGCAAGGCAUUAAUUCGCAUGAUCGUGCAUCAAUUCAUGCGACGUGCUUGGUUGUAGGGCAACCUCGCCCCAUCACAUCACAGGUAACCCAGCGCCCCUCUAUAAAAGAAGAAUCCUCCUACCUUGGAGGGGGCUGGACGCUGAAACUCUGGACAUAUUUUCCUCCAUACAUUCUUCCCCCCUCUAACUUAGGCAUCGGAGGGCCGGCGCCGGAAACCCCGGCCACCGGCUUUUUUGCAGGUCCCCCGGAGGACGCCGCCCGCUGACGGAUCGCCACCCACUGCCAGACGACGGAGCUCCUCUCUUCUCACCCAGUGGACAUCUUCGGGUCUAAUUUCCAGCAACAAUUGGCGCUAGAGGAAGGGCCCGAGUCGUGGCCAUGAAGUUGAGAAGUAAAGGAGCCUCCAAUGCUUUCCGACGUCUUCCACCAAGUUCUGGACACUCCGUCCAAAACUCGCCGCCUCCGGCCGACCCGGUUCCCCAAGUCCAGCCGGAACAGUUCAACAUCCUGGUGCAGCAGGUCCAGGCUUUGGCCGCCGCCGUCCAAGGCUUGUGGCGUGAGGAAGCCUCACCUAUGCUACCUCCACAGGCCCUGGCCCAACCGGUGCUUCCUCCAAAUGGACCGAUCUCCCAGGGCCAAAAUCUUCAUGGCUCCUCCAAGGCUAAUAAUGAAGAACGAGCGUCUCCCCGAAGAGAACUGCCGAGGAGAAGCCUGGACAGAAGGCCGUAGCCUUCGGAGGCUGAGUCAGCCCCGGACCACCACGAACCGAAGCGGGCUACUGUGACAAUCCCCCAGGUUGGGGAGCUCGACAGGAAGGUCGAGAACUUGGAGCGCCAGAUUGAAGCGCUUCAUAACAGGAAGGCAAGGCGCGAGGGUGACUUUGAGUUUACCACCAAGUUCCUCUUUUCUUGCCAGAUCGAGGGUAAGCCGGUCCCACCGAGGUUCAAAAUGCUCCAGGUGGAGCCCUACAACGGAACUGCCGACCCCCUCGACCACUUGGAGAGCUACCGAGCCCUCAUGGCAUUGCAAGGAUCCUCGGAGGCUGUGCUCUGCAAGGCCUUCCCAGCUACCCUUCGAGGAACCGCUCGGCUUUGGUUCUCUGGACUGAAGCCGAGCUCGAUAUCUUCUUUCAUCGGAAAUCGCCCUGGGGCGCCACCGGAAAAGCUCUGUCACGACUGGGAAAGGAAAACAGGAGAAGAGAAGCGACAGAAAAGAGGAAAGCAGCCAAGCAAGACCUUUUUUAGGGCCAGGUUAAGGAGUUUAUAUAGACCCUCCCAACGGCCCAGAUCGGCAGGGCUGGAUCCCGCCUUUCGCCCAGAUUGCGCCACGUGCCGGCCCCGAAAGCUGAAGCAGCACAUUCAUUCCGGGCUGGCGCCUCGAAUACGAAAUCGAGGCGGUGUCCCGUCGGAUCCCGGAGCCCCAUCAUGAGCCCACUACACGAGGCGGCCUCGAAGGACGAAAGGGUGUCGCCCCUCUCCUCUCAUUAAAAGCACCACGAAGCGCGCGGAGCGUCGACACAAUUUAAGUCUCCCUGGCCCCCACCACUGCAAUAAAAGCAACUACUUCCUACGUCCGAGCUCGCGAACAGCUCGAACUCGGAAGUCGGGGGAGUGUUGGAGGAAAAUAAACCGCCCCAAAGUACGUAAGCAGGCCACCAGCACAUAGUCGGAGGUGCCCGACCUAGAAGGCGCCCGAUCUGGAGGGCGCCCGACCUGGAGGACGCCCGACCUGGAGGACGCCCGACUUGGAAAGCGCCCGAUCCCGAUCUCGGAAGGCAUCUGAUCCCGGAAGCCGGAUCUCGCCGACUGUCCGCUGCGGUCACAUCCUCCUACGGCCCGAUUUGGGACCACGCCUUGAGCGGCUUACUCAACAGUUAAUGCGCAUGGCCUCUGCAGACCUCCGGCUUACUUAACAAUUAAUGCACAUGGCCUCUGCAGACCUACGGCUUACUCAACGAUUAAUGCGCAUGGUCUCUGCAAACCUCCAGCUUACUCAACAAUUAAUGUGCAUGGUCUCUGUUACCUACGGAUCUCUAGUCCUCCACGGCAAAUCAGUUCGGCUGCAUCCAGUCAGCCGUGACAACUCCCUGAUUCUGACCUCAUCCCCUACGGCAAGGCAUGAAUUCGCAUGAUCGUGCAUCAAUUCAUGCGACGUGCUCGGUUGUACGGCAACCUCGCCCCAUCACAUCACAGGUAACCCAGCGCCCCUCUAUAAAAGGAGAAUCCUCCUACCUUAGAGGGGGCUGGAUGCUGAAACUCUGGACAUAUUUUCCUCCAUACAUCCUUCCCCCCUCUGACUUAGACAUCGUAGGGCCGGCGCCG